Molecule: ribosomal RNA, 329 nt
Filed under: uncultured fungus
Lineage: Eukaryota; Fungi
Description: LSU rRNA
Source: RNAcentral
CAGUCGUACCUGCGGGUAAUCAGCCUUUUGGGCAUGAUUCUGUGGAGCGUGAGGAGUUAAACGCCUUCAUGCCUGCAUAUUCGUGUACUUUGGGUGUACUUGCCUGUGUGGUUAGUUAACAUCAAUUUUGGUUAUCAUAAAAUGGUUGGAGGAAUGUAGCUUCGAUUUCGAUUGAAGUGUUAUAGCCUUCGGCAGAUGUGGUGAUCGGGAUUGAGGAUUGCAACGGAUACCCUUCGGGGCUACCUGUCUGGUCUCUGAUCGUUGCUCUGGUGCCGAAAGCGUGCUUACGGUUAUCAAAGUCGAUGGUCAAUAGGUUAGAACGGGUUAAA